This is a long non-coding RNA of Fukomys damarensis (Damara mole-rat), 4052 nucleotides long. RefSeq lists it as uncharacterized. The transcript has 5 exons. The record is from RefSeq and is a predicted model, not a curated record. NCBI's taxonomy places the organism in Eukaryota, Metazoa, Chordata, Mammalia, Rodentia, Bathyergidae.
GAGAAAUACAUAGAUGCUGCUUCAGAAUUGAUUGUGUAUACAAUACUUUUCUGCCUUAGAGGAAGUCAUUCCUGAGUAUGUGACACUUAAAGAGAUGCCUGCCAUGCUUGUUUUCAAAGAUGAAACUUACUUUGUUUAUGAUGAGUUUGAAGAUGGUGAUCUGUCAGCAUGGAUCAGUAGGGAAAGGUUUCAGAAUUAUCUUACUAUGGAUGGCUUCCUCUUAUAUGAACUUGGAGACACAGGAUGAAGACUCCCUUGCUGCUAAAUGCUGAGCCAGGUGUCAACAAGAAGGGUACAGCACACUCUUAUGUCACCAAGGUGGACCAGUCUCCUGCUUGGUGCUUCAGGACUUUACUGUGACCUGGGAAGAAGAUGCUGCUUUGUGUCCACCUCACUGGCAAACCAGCCACUUCAGCCCAAAGUCUUAUUUCCACAAAAUAUCAGUUUAGGCAGAGAUGUGAAAAAGCAUGGGAACUAUGUGGCUAUUAGCUGUUGUGACAAUGGAGAGGCCUUAUUUUAUAGGUUAAGUGCUUGGAUCAGGAGUCAGACACCCUGGCUCAUAAUUUAGAUUUUACAAUUCUAGCUCUAUAAGUGAUACAUGAGGAUUUGUGUGCAGAGCUGAGUCAUCCUGUCCAUCCCAAAUCCAGUCUCACUCAGCCUACAGACAGGCCAAACUAUGUCCAACAAUAUCAGUAGAGUCAACUAAUCAGAAAUUUGACUGAAAAUGCUCAUAACACUAGAGAUAUUGUAGAUGUUUCCUACUAGAUAUUAUUAUUAUAGUAACAGAUAUGAAUACAACAGAACUGAAAGACUUUAACGAAGAGCUUUUAUUUCUAUGAAUAACAUCAAUGACAUAUUUCCUUUUGCAUUUCUCUCUGCAUAUUAUGUAUUAGUAGAGCUGCUAAAGAAAGUCAAUGCUCAAAAUUUUGGAAUUGAAUAUCUUAGAAAGUGAUUAUUUUGCUUUGUAUCUAGAUGCAUUUCCCCCCCAAGGCCUUAUGCACGGAUAGAUGGGACUUUUAGAAGCUGGCUGCAUCCAGGGUAUGUGAUACUGGAAUUAAGAGUGUUUGGUUCUAAAGUAGUUCACUGAGUGUUUUAACAUAGUUCUGGGUAUGGAUAAUACAAAGGCACAACCUGGGUGCAUGCAACACCAACCAAAAAGCUUGUAUCCUGGAUGGGAUAAAAGAGAAAGGGAGGUUUGCUUCUCCUGCUGCUGCUCACUGUCUCCUGCCUACCUCAGCUGGCUAUGACCUGAAAUCUCUACAAACUGAACUGAGAAAAACCUUUCAUCUUUUAAUUUGUGGAUGUUAGAUAUUUUCUCACAUCAACAAGAAAGUAGUCAAGACAGAUUUUGGUUCCAGAAAAGUGAGAUCUUUGCUGUGACACUACCUGGCUGUGUGGUUCAGAAGCCUUUGGAACUGACUUUCAGGAGGAGUACAGAAAGGUUUAGAGAUUGCUGGCUGAAGAAGCAGCCAUAGAAUUCUGUGAGCCAGUCUUGAUGGGAGAUUCUGGUCUAUGCUUAGAAGACCAGAAUGUUGACUGCAUGCAGCUAGAUAUAUAAAGACCAGGCUCUAGCAGUUUCAUUUGGGAAGGACUCCCUUGCAACUGGAGUCCAGAUCAUGUGUGUUAGGUUUCUGCUAAAAAUUUGUCUUCAUUUUGCUCUUGCCCAGAGACUUUGCCUGAGACUGAUAUUAAGUGGGGCAGACUAAUGAAUCUGCCAAAAAAAAAAAAAAAAAGAAAAAAAAUUCAAAACAAUCUAAUAUGGAGGCAUGUCUACUGUUGGAGAGUUUUAGUCAUAUCUAUGCUGACAAUCAAGAACAAAGGUCUCAGUAGAAUGAUUUUAAAAGUUCUGCAUUUGGCCAGAAAGGAAACUUCAGAAAACUGCUAAGAUGUAGCAGAGAAGAACUUUGUUUUGAAAUGCUUGACAUUUAAAAGCCAAGUACUUUGGGACUCAACAGUAGAAAAGAUGGCCUAAGGAUAUCACAAGAACCAGUAGGACUCCACCCUUUGCAGUCUGAAAAUUGUAAAGGUCAAAGACUGUUUUAGAAGAGAACCCCAAAACAUCGUGUUCUAGAAUGGCAGCAGACCAUGGCAUCAUGUAUAGUGCUGGUUUGAAAAGGUGAAAGAUUUAUAUGAUCUGAAGAGAAAUCAGAGUACGUGGUGCUGGUUUUAGGUGAAUGCAGAAUGCAAGAGUUGUAGUGAGGAAGGUUUCCGCCCAAGUUUCAGAAGAUGGCCUAAGAGGCCAAGCAGUGUACCACUGAGAGGGCAGUGUGUGAAGCUGUGAGUGUGAAACUGAAGGUUCAGUGGGGACUCCAGAAGAUUGGAGAGGCAGGGAUGUGGAACCUCUGAGAACCACAAGUAGUGAGCAAGGCUGGCUCAAGACAGAAGACAUGUGAGUUACAACCACCAGUAGUACCAUAGGCCAUAAGUCUUUUGAAGUUCACAUCUUGGCACAGAUUGCACUGGAUGCUAGACAAGGAACUACAGGAUAUCAUGUUUGCCCUACUGGAUUUUGGGCUCCCUUUUGUUAUGUCCAGUGGGUCUGGGAUCUAGGAUCUCCAGACUCACCUUUGCAAGGCCUGUCUCUGUCUGUGGCAUAGAAAGAGAAAGAGGAGCCAGAGAAGUCCAGGGAAAAGUGAAAGUACUUUUAUCGUAGGGAGUGGUACAAAGCCAUUCUGGUGAAGGAGAAGGGGUGGUCAGAGUUGAGUCACCACCAAAUCUGGGGCUGGGGUCCUAUUUUAUGGGGUAGAAGUCCUGUCUCCACUAUCCUGAGGAUUGACACUUGAUUGGAUACUGGGCUUGUUGCUAGGAGUUUGAUCUUGUGGGCUAACAGGGGAAUUUGUGUAGGUGUGGAAGCUGCACUGGGAAGGAGAGUUUUGCCUGCACAGAGGCAGGUGUCAAAAUGACAAGCUGUCAGAUUCAAACCACAAACCUGCUUGAAAACUGCUUGCUACUCAUAGCCACAUAGCACCUGCAUUUUCCACCUUUUGUUUAAAAAGGGCAUGUGUGUGUCCUUGCAUUUUGCUCUCUCUCUCUCUCCAUGGACUGAACUUGGGUCCUUGCACUUGCAAGGCAGGUGGCAGAACCACUAAGCUAAAUCACCAGCCCUAGUCUCACUUUUUUCUAUUCCCCUGUUUAGCUCUCACAUUUUUAUUUUUUAUUUUUAGUACUGGGGAUCAAAUUCAGGACCUUGCACUUAUGUGGCAGUCAAAGCCCCACUUAGCUAAAUUCCUGGCCUACUCUAUCCCCCUAUUUAGAAUGGGAGUGUUUAUCUUGUACCAUUGUAUAUUGAAAGUGUUUACUUUUCUUUUCAUUUGUAGAGGGGCUUCUAGGUAAGAAUUUGCCUUAAAUCUGAGAGGAGACUUUGAACUUGGACUUUUCAGCAAUACUGAGACUAUUAGGACUUUGGUAACUUUUAGAGAUGGACUAAAUGGCUUUUGCAAAAGGAAUGUGCAUGGAGGUCCAGGAGAGGAAUAGUAUGGCUUAUAUCUACACAUUCUCCCAAAGCCUCCUGCACUGAUAAGUGGGGAUUUUUGGACCUGACUGGAUCUAGGAUAUGUGAUGCUGGGAUUAAGGGUGUGUGGUGCUAAAUUAGUCUACCGAGUGGUUCAUCAUAGUCCUGUGUUCAUACAAUGGAAAGGCCCACUCUAGGUGUGGGUGGCACCAUCCAAAAGGCUUGCAGGGAAAGGGGCUGGCUGUUGCUGUUGCUCACUGCCUCCUUCUUACCCUGCUGUGGACUGAUUUUCCUCUGCCAUGCCCCUAUGCCAGGCCACCUUGCCAAGGGGUCAGUUGACUAUGAACUGAAAACUCUACAGACUGUGGGCUGAAAUAAACCUUUUAUCCUUCAACUUGUGAUUACUGAGUUUUUUUGUCCUAGCAAUGAGAAAGUAACCAAGACAGUGAUUUAGAGCUAUUAUCAUUAACACUUUAACCACUCACCUUAUUGGACAAAAUUGUGUCAAUCUCCUGCUGCAGUUUUUUCUGGACAUCAGAAUGAGUGGCCAGUUCAUACAUAACAAAAGAAAGAGCACUGGUAGUUGUUUCAUAGCCCGCGA